UAGGGAAUCUUCCGCAAUGGGCGAAAGCCUGACGGAGCAACGCCGCGUGAGUGAUGAAGGUCUUCGGAUCGUAAAACUCUGUUAUUAGGGAAGAACAAAUGUGUAAGUAACUAUGCACGUCUUGACGGUACCUAAUCAGAAAGCCACGGCUAACUACGUGCCAGCAGCCGCGGUAAUACGUAGGUGGCAAGCGUUAUCCGGAAUUAUUGGGCGUAAAGCGCGCGUAGGCGGUUUUUUAAGUCUGAUGUGAAAGCCCACGGCUCAACCGUGGAGGGUCAUUGGAAACUGGAAAACUGGAGUGCAGAGGAGGAAAGGGGAAUUCCAUGGGUAGCGGUGAAAUGCGCAGAGUUAUGGAGGAACACCAGUGGCGAGGGCGACUUUCUGGUCUGUAACGGACGCUGAUGUGCGAAAGCGUGGGGAUCAAACAGG
This 429-nucleotide ribosomal RNA is filed under the name Actinomycetes bacterium. Its description in RNAcentral is "Actinobacteria bacterium partial 16S ribosomal RNA". It matches the Rfam family "Bacterial small subunit ribosomal RNA", at positions 355 to 776 of the family's 1533-position model. The record is from RNAcentral. Lineage: Bacteria; Bacillati; Actinomycetota; Actinomycetes.